AGUGAACGCUGGCGGUAGGCCUAACACAUGCAAGUCGAACGGCAGCACAGAGGAGCUUGCUCCUUGGGUGGCGAGUGGCGGACGGGUGAGGAAUACAUCGGAAUCUACUCUGUCGUGGGGGAUAACGUAGGGAAACUUACGCUAAUACCGCAUACGCCCUACGGGUGAAAGACGGGGACCGUCGGGCCCUGCGCGCUUGAAUGGGCCGAUGUCGGAUUAGCUAGUUGGCGGGGUAAAGGCCCACCAAGGCGACGAUCCGUAGCUGGUCUGAGAGGAUGAUCAGCCACACUGGAACUGAGACACGGUCCAGACUCCUACGGGAGGCAGCAGUGGGGAAUAUUGGACAAUGGGCGCAAGCCUGAUCCAGCCAUACCGCGUGGGUGAAGAAGGCCUUCGGGUUGUAAAGCCCUUUUGUUGGGAAAGAAAUCCAGCUGGCUAAUACCCGGUUGGGAUGACGGUACCCAAAGAAUAAGCACCGGCUAACUUCGUGCCAGCCGCCGCCGUAA
Molecule: ribosomal RNA, 506 nt
Filed under: uncultured bacterium
Lineage: Bacteria
Description: partial 16S ribosomal RNA
Rfam family: Bacterial small subunit ribosomal RNA
Source: RNAcentral